RNAcentral lists this ribosomal RNA (519 nucleotides) under uncultured eukaryote. Its description in RNAcentral is "SSU rRNA". It matches the Rfam family "Eukaryotic small subunit ribosomal RNA", at positions 1161 to 1696 of the family's 1831-position model. The record is from RNAcentral.
AGGGCACCACCAGGAGUGGAGCCUGCGGCUUAAUUUGACUCAACACGGGAAAACUCACCCGGCCCGGACACUGGAAGGAUUGACAGAUUGAGAGCUCUUUCUUGAUUCAGUGGGUGGUGGUGCAUGGCCGUUCUUAGUUGGUGGAGUGAUUUGUCUGGUUAAUUCCGAUAACGAACGAGACCUUAUCCUACUAAAUAUGUGGUCAAGUUUACAAACACUUGAUCUCACUUCUUAGAGGGACAGGCGGUGAUUCAACCGCACGAAACAAGGCAAUAACAGGUCUGUGAUGCCCUUAGAUGUCCGGGGCCGCACGCGCGCUACACUGAAGUGAUCAGCGUGCUUUGCUAUGCCUACUCUGGCAAGAGUGGGAAACCCCGUGAACCUUCUUCGUGAUUGGGAUAGGAGAUUGUAAUUAUUCUCCUUGAACGAGGAAUUCCCAGUAAGCGCGAGUCAUAAGCUCGCGUUGAUUACGUCCCUGCCCUUUGUACACACCGCCCGUCGCUACUACCGAUUGAAUGU